Molecule: ribosomal RNA, 270 nt
Filed under: Minidiscus sp.
Lineage: Eukaryota; Bacillariophyta; Thalassiosirophyceae; Thalassiosirales; Thalassiosiraceae
Description: partial small subunit ribosomal RNA
Rfam family: Eukaryotic small subunit ribosomal RNA
Source: RNAcentral
AGCUCCAAUAGCGUAUAUUUAAGUUGUCGGGCAGGGGAUACCCAUCGUUUACUGUGAAAAAAUUAGAGUGUUUAAAGCAGGCUUAUGCCGUUGAAUAUAUUAGCAUGGAAUAAUAAGAUAGGACUUCGGAACUAUUUUGUUGGUUUGCGUUACGAAGUAAUGAUUAAUAGGGACAGUUGGGGGUAUUCGUAUUUCGUUGUCAGAGGUGAAAUUCUUGGAUUUCCGAAAGACGAACUACUGCGAAAGCAUUUACCAAGGAUGUUUUCAUUA